Molecule: long non-coding RNA, 1328 nt
Filed under: Phoenix dactylifera (date palm)
Lineage: Eukaryota; Viridiplantae; Streptophyta; Magnoliopsida; Arecales; Arecaceae
Description: long non-coding RNA (PDAC_LNC004910)
Source: RNAcentral
GGGUCGGAACCUGUAGAGGGUACCUCAGCCAUCUUGAGCUUAAUCGGCACGUCCGGAGUCGGGGUUAUCUUCAUGGGUCGAGAUCGAUGUCUCGACGUAUGGGGGCCAAAUUAGGCCCUUACUCAUGAAGGUUUGCAUGAGUUGUCAUGGGGGUUAUCGGUAGAGGGAGCAUGCAUGAGGUUGGUGGGACCUUGGUCUUAGACCGACUUGUAGGGGCAACCAGGCCUUGGCCGGGAUGAGGUCCCGAUCUCAAUCGGGAUUUCGCUGGCAAUACGUAGAUAAAUAUAACAAGGCGGGCGUCAAGUGGGAUGUACCUCUUGCACCUCCGAAAUUGCGCGCCUCAUAGUGGAGUGGGUUGCCUUGUUUCCUCGCCGACCUUCGGAGUCACUUUUUGGUUCGGGGUCGAGAGAGCUUGGGCUUCCUAUGAACCUGGUGGCGCCUCCCGAGGCCGAGGGAGUUUGCGACUCUACGGUCGACUCUCGGGGCAUCUCAAACUUAGUUGAGGGAUCAUGCACGAGAUCGAGGGGGCCGGGGACGCACUCUCGACCCAUGAUGCUUUUCGAGGUCGAGGAAGUUUGGGACUCUACUGUCACGCCCCGAACCCGGAUCCGUGACACGGCCGUGCUAUUGCCAACUACCGCCCACAAUAGCACGAAGCCUCAUACAUGGGUUAUAGGGUAGUCAAACCAACCAAACCUUUAUAUAUGAAAGCAUUCUUAGUACAACAUGCUGGUCAGUACCCAAAUACAGAGCUUCUAUGUAGUUUAUGUACACAAAAGUAUACUUAUUUUACCCCAAAGGAAAGAAGCCCAGAUACCAAAUUAAAGUGUCUCCGACAGCUAUCAGUGGUGAGAAUCUGAAAGAAAAAUGUAAAUGAAUGGAUAUGAGCUACACGGCUCAGUAAGUAAUCAUACAUAAUCUUACCGGAUCAAACAUAAGAAUUCAUGCGAUUAGCAUCAUUUAAAGGAGAUAGCAGUUAUAGCAAAAUACAACAUUUCAUAAAGGAUAUAUUCAAAAACUCGUCGUAAAAUAAUGUAUGCUUUGGCCAGGCACGUUCAUAAAUGUCACGGCCCGCCUGCACAGGGCACGUGACUAUCGGGCCCACAUGAGGGAGAAACACGGGGCUCCCCUACCAGAUGUUGGCCGGUUUCGGGGUCCGUACGCGCGCGCAUGCGCCGCACUUAACCCCUCACCGAUUUUGCUUCUCCCCAAAACGCAUCUACAGGAUUUGGAAACACCCGCCUCAUAUACCCAGGCUCUGGAACGAGCCUCAUGAUUAUGCUUCAAAUAUCAUUUUCAUGCAAUAUAUCAUAAUCAUAAUUCAUACC